GCCCUGCGGACGGCGUCGAGCCACCAUACGGGCACGCCGCCUCUGCAGCUGCUAAUCAGCGAACUGAGGCGUCCUCAGCCAAGGACAAUAAAGGCUGUUUCCAUCCUGUCAUCCAGUACGACUGAUGGUUACCAUGGAAACUAAACAGACCCAUGGAGAUACAUUGCUGAUCAUCUUCGGCAUGUUCACCUGCUGUUUGGCUGAUAAGAUCCAACAUCUAAAGAGAGAUAUCACAUCUUCAAUAUUCUCCAGACAAGAGGAUGUUAUAUAUUUUUAAUCUAUCUGAAAUUAUUAUUAAUGUAUAUAAAAUAUCUAUAUUUUUACGUAAGGUAAAUAAAUCUGCAAGUUGGAGAAAUUAUGCUGCUAGAUAUUUAAAAAUGUUGGUGGUUCGUAUGGAGCACAAUGUGGUUUUACUUCACCCAAAAUUAAAAAAAGAAAGAACAAUGAGAUUGCUUAAAGUGAACAAAAUUAUUCAUAUUCAACUUCAGUUUUAAAGAGCCAUUCACAUUUUUAUUCAAUGAACAUUACAGAAACAUAUUUCGACAAAACCACGCUUUUAUAUGCCUUAGCACAUAUACAGCAUGUCAUUGUCUUCAAGAUUAUGUGUUGCCAGAAUAAAGCAAAGCAUCCAUCUC
Xiphophorus hellerii (green swordtail) is the source of this 635-nucleotide long non-coding RNA. RefSeq lists it as uncharacterized. The record is from RefSeq and is a predicted model, not a curated record. The transcript is spliced from 2 exons. Lineage: Eukaryota; Metazoa; Chordata; Actinopteri; Cyprinodontiformes; Poeciliidae.